AAAGCCCGCAAGGGUGAGUACAGUGGCGUACGGGUGAGUAACACGUGGAUAAUCUACCCUCUAGUGGGGAAUACCGUUGGGAAACCGACGACAAUACCGCAUAAUCUCGAGAGAGGAAAGCAGCAAUGCGCUGGAGGAGGAGUCCGCGGCUGAUUAGCUAGUUGGUGAGGUAAUGGCUCACCAAGGCUCAGAUCAGUAGCCGGCCUGAGAGGGCACACGGCCACACUGGCACUGAAACACGGGCCAGACUCCUACGGGAGGCAGCAGUGGGGAAUCUUGCACAAUGGGGGAAACCCUGAUGCAGCGACGCCGCGUGAGCGAUGAAGCCCUUCGGGGUGUAAAGCUCUUUCGGCAGGGAAGAUUAUGACGGUACCUGCAGAAGCAGCUGCGGCUAACUACGUGCCAGCAGCCGCGGUAAUACGUAGGCAGCAAGCGUUGUUCGGAGUUACUGGGCGUAAAGGGUGUGUAGGCGGUUGGAUAAGUGUGGUGUGAAAUCUCCCGGCUUAACUGGGAGGGUGCGCUACAAACUGUCUGACUAGAGUGUGGGAUGGGAGAGUGGAAUUCCUGGUGUAGCGGUGAAAUGCGUAGAUAUCAGGAGGAACACCGGUGGUGUAGACGGCUCUCUGGACCAUAACUGACGCUGAGACACGAAAGCGUGGGUAGCAAACAGGAUUAGAUACCCUGGUAGUCCACGCCCUAAACGAUGCAUAUUUGGUGUGGGUCAUUCAUUUGAUCCGUGCCGGAGCUAACGCGUUAAAUAUGCCGCCUGGGGAGUACAGUCGCAAGGCUGAAACUC
Molecule: ribosomal RNA, 796 nt
Filed under: uncultured Actinomycetes bacterium
Lineage: Bacteria; Bacillati; Actinomycetota; Actinomycetes
Description: bacterial SSU rRNA
Rfam family: Bacterial small subunit ribosomal RNA
Source: RNAcentral